UGUCCUCCAUAGGAGGUCUAUAUUGAGCAGAUUCUUUUUGGUAUUGGGUGGUGGAACCAGAGCGUGCUCCAUCCACUCCGUGCAUUGACCUGGUAUUGCAGUGCUUCCAGGACCGGUGC
Small nuclear RNA from Crocodylus porosus (Australian saltwater crocodile), 119 nucleotides. Its record names the gene U2. It matches the Rfam family "U2 spliceosomal RNA". Rfam says of the family: U2 is a small nuclear RNA (snRNA) component of the spliceosome (involved in pre-mRNA splicing). Complementary binding between U2 snRNA (in an area lying towards the 5' end but 3' to hairpin I) and the branchpoint sequence (BPS) of the intron results the bulging out of an unpaired adenosine, on the BPS, which initiates a nucleophilic attack at the intronic 5' splice site, thus starting the first of two transesterification reactions that mediate splicing. NCBI's taxonomy places the organism in Eukaryota, Metazoa, Chordata, Crocodylia, Crocodylidae. The record is from Ensembl.